Molecule: ribosomal RNA, 135 nt
Filed under: uncultured bacterium
Lineage: Bacteria
Description: partial 16S ribosomal RNA
Rfam family: Bacterial small subunit ribosomal RNA
Source: RNAcentral
UUAGGAAUCUUGCGCAAUGGGCGAAAGCCUGACGCAGCAACGCCGCGUGAGGGAUGAAGGCUCUCGGGUUGUAAACCUCUUUCAGCAGGGACGAUUGUGACGGUACCUGCAGAAGAAGGACCGGCCAACUACGUG